RNAcentral lists this unclassified non-coding RNA (324 nucleotides) under uncultured fungus. Its description in RNAcentral is "partial contains 5.8S ribosomal RNA, internal transcribed spacer 2, and large subunit ribosomal RNA". The stretch from base 1 to 52 matches the Rfam family "5.8S ribosomal RNA", at positions 103 to 154 of the family's 154-position model. Lineage: Eukaryota; Fungi. The record is from RNAcentral.
AACGCACCUUGCGCCUCUUGGUAUUCCGAGGGGCAUGCCUGUUUGAGUGUCAUUGAAAACCCUCAAGAGGGAAGCUUAAGCGGCUUCUCUUUUGGAAUUGGAGUGUGCUGGCCUUUUUCCACUUAAAAGCCCAGCUCCUCUGAAAUGCAUUAGCGAUGCAACAUCCUCGUGCCAUCACGCUUCUCUAGCAUUGAUAGUCUCUUCAUGCUUGAGUGUGGUCGCGUCAGCGAUGGAAAGUUUUGCUCGCUCACAAACUUGUUGGGCCUUAGCCCAUCCUUUGACCAAAUUAACCUCAAAUCAGGUAGGAUUACCCGCUGAACUUAA